GCCUCCGUAGCUCAGUGGAUAGAGCAACCGCCUUCUAAGCGGUCGGUCGCAGGUUCGAUCCCUGCCGGGGGCGC
This 74-nucleotide transfer RNA is filed under the name Mycolicibacterium gilvum. RNAcentral describes it as "tRNA-Arg(tct)". It matches the Rfam family "tRNA". Rfam says of the family: Transfer RNA (tRNA) molecules are approximately 80 nucleotides in length. The record is from RNAcentral. RNAcentral also lists the same sequence under 1 other name. Lineage: Bacteria; Bacillati; Actinomycetota; Actinomycetes; Mycobacteriales; Mycobacteriaceae.